AGCAGGACACCUCAGCCUCCCUACCGUACCCUGUGCCAGCCUCCUGUGUGACCUUGCCUGGAAUUCCCUCCCUGAGUGUUACUCACCAUCGACAAAGAGCGGGUGCUGUCAUCAAGCCUUAGAAGUUGUUUGAGAAGCUGAUGUUGCCUUAGAAGGCGCUGGAGCUGGUCCGAGUGGUAAGAAGCACAGCUUUGUGCAGACUCGUGAUGUGAGAUGCUGCUGGUACCACGCGAAGAAACAAGUCUCUAUGCUACAACUUCGGACACUGAGGCCAGUGGAGGGAGGUGAAGGAAGACAGCUGUGGGGAGAAGCAUUUCUGCGGUGUUCCUGCAAGCAGUUGGUCCCGAUGCACUGCCCGCAGGCCUGCGCGGAGACACAGGUUCCCAAGAUGAGGGUGUGAGGAGCCCAUUCGUUCUUCAGCCAGCACUUCUAGCCAGGACGACGGUCGUGGUUGGUACUUCCCGAGGUCCUACCAGGUGCCAAGCGUUGUCCUCAGCACCUGGUGUUGAGUUUCUCGUUUGAUCCUCCGAGCGGCGCUGCGAGAUGGUCAUUGAUAGUAUCACCAUUUUACAGGUGGGGACACGGAGGCUUAGAGAGCUCAAGUGACUAAUACUUAUUGGGCUGGGAUCCUGUCUGAUUUCAGUGCUGCAUGCCUUCACCAUUAAGUGACACCACUGUAUACCUUGCCAUGUGCUGCCUUAGGCUGUAGUUGGUCGGGCCUGUUCCCCAAACUCCUUGCUCUAGAGAAUUAGGAAAGAAAUACAUGGAAAAGAGGAUGGAAAUUCUGACAGCUAGCAUGACAAAGGUCUGAACUCCUGAACACGUGGUUGGUAACAUUCCCUGCCUGCCCCUCCUUCCCCACGGAUCGCCUCUUCCUGGGAGCUGAGAUUGUCUCCUCUGUCUGAUUCUUCCCCCUCCAAGGCCACCCCGUGCUCAUCUCAGCUGGGGUCACGGGGAGGUGGAGGUGCCCCUGCCAGCAGCUCUUUGUCGUCAGUAGCUGGUUGUGGAACUGCCUGGUCGGCCCACAGCGGAGGAUGGUGGAUCGUCCAGGCCUUCCUGGAGGAAUAAGGACAGCUGGAGACAGUCUGAAGCCAGAUUCCCAGUUGCCCACCAUGUACUGGGAGACGGGUACGUGACUCAGAAGUGGAGGGAUGCAAUAGAGAGCUUUGGAGGACAGCCCGCAGAUCCCUGAAAACACAGACAUCCCAUUCGUUUCCAGUCUGUGGGGCAGCCCCUUCUCAACCUGCACAGCCCUGAGCUUCCACAGGCCUGAGUCAAGACGCUCUCCUCGCCUCUCUGGGAGCGAAGAGUGGGGGCCACAAAGCUUGCUGGAAGCAGAGUCUGUAUCCAAGGUUCAUUUGGAUUUUUAGCAUAUUAGA
Long non-coding RNA from Hippopotamus amphibius kiboko, 1379 nucleotides. RefSeq lists it as uncharacterized. Lineage: Eukaryota; Metazoa; Chordata; Mammalia; Artiodactyla; Hippopotamidae. The transcript has 3 exons. The record is from RefSeq and is a predicted model, not a curated record.